AUGGCAGCCAUGUUCCUCCACAUGCCAUCUUUCUGCACCUUCCAUCAGUGUCUCAAACCUCCAGCAACUGCUGGAGGAGAUGAGAUCAAGGCUCCCUUGGACUUUACAUUUUGGGCUGCCUCUGCCUUUGAAGAUGUUCACUUAGAUUAUAACAGUUUCACGCUGUGUUCUUACAAUUCCCCGCUGAACUUCGGCCAAGGGACCCAAGUGACUGUCUUAGAGGAUGGAUUCCAUAUCACCCCCCCCAAAGUGGCCAUCUUUCCCCCGUCGAAGCAGGAGAUCAAAGAGAAGAGGAAGGCCACCCUGGUGUGCCUGGUCACAGAUUUCUACCCUGACCACAUCAAGCUGGUUUGGCGGGUGAACAAUGUUGAGAGGAAAGAGGGGGUGAGGACAGAUGAAUCUAUCAAGAACGAAACCUCAAAAAAAUACUCUCUGACCAGCCGCCUGAGGAUCUCACACCAGGAAUUUUCCAACUCCAAGAAUAGAUUCCACUGCUUUGUUGAGUUCUACGGGAAUAACAAACAAACAUAUGAUAAAGUCAUCAGUGGUGUAGCUGAUUGCAGGGUCUCAGAAGAGUCGUAUCUGAGAAGUGCCAUGGCAAGCAAGAGUGUGUAUGUUCUGCUCAUUUUCAAGAGUGCCUUGUAUGGGGUCUUUGUGAUGGGGCUAAUGCUAAGGAACAAGCAAGUGCAGUAGAAGAAGCUGGCCUGAGGCGGAUGGCACAGCUGCCUGGAGAAAGAAGGAGCUGCAGCUGCAUUCAUUUUACAAGUCCUGAUUUGUUUCAGAAACCAGCACAACACUUAGGCUUUUGUUACAAUAAAUAUACAAAGAUCGCAAUUUGGAGUUGUCUGGCUAUAUUUGCUUGUUUGAAACAGCAGCUUUUAAUAAACACUUAUGGAAUCCUUAA
This is a non-coding RNA of Dermochelys coriacea (leatherback sea turtle), 904 nucleotides long. NCBI's taxonomy places the organism in Eukaryota, Metazoa, Chordata, Testudines, Dermochelyidae. The record is from the annotation of a RefSeq genome assembly.